This 802-nucleotide ribosomal RNA is filed under the name uncultured Pelagibacteraceae bacterium. RNAcentral's name for it is "bacterial SSU rRNA". It matches the Rfam family "Bacterial small subunit ribosomal RNA", at positions 34 to 884 of the family's 1533-position model. The record is from RNAcentral. Lineage: Bacteria; Pseudomonadati; Pseudomonadota; Alphaproteobacteria; Candidatus Pelagibacterales; Candidatus Pelagibacteraceae.
CGCUGGCGGCACGCCUAACACAUGCAAGUCGAACGAAGUAGCAAUACUUAGUGGCAGACGGGUGAGUAACAUGUAGGUAUCUGCCCUUUGGCCUGGAAUAACACGAGGAAACUUGUGCUAAUACCGGAUAAGUCUUUACGGAGAAAGCUUUAUGCACCAUUGGAUGAGCCUGCACUUGAUUAGUUUGUUGGUGGGGUAAUGGCCUACCAAGACUGUGAUCAAUAGCUGAUUUGAGAGGAUGAUCAGCCACAUUGGGACUGAGACACGGCCCAAACUCCUACGGGAGGCAGCAGUGGGGAAUCUUGCACAAUGGAGGAAACUCUGAUGCAGCGAUGCCGCGUGAGUGAAGAAGGCCUUUGGGUUGUAAAGCUCUUUCGUCGGGGAAGAAAAUGACUGUACCCGAAUAAGAAGGUCCGGCUAACUUCGUGCCAGCAGCCGCGGUAAUACGAAGGGACCUAGCGUAGUUCGGAAUUACUGGGCUUAAAGAGUUCGUAGGUGGUUGAAAAAGUUGGUGGUGAAAUCCCAGAGCUUAACUCUGGAACUGCCAUCAAAACUUUUCAGCUAGAGUGUGAUAGAGGAAAGCAGAAUUUCUAGUGUAGAGGUGAAAUUCGUAGAUAUUAGAAAGAAUACCAAUUGCGAAGGCAGCUUUCUGGAUCACUACUGACGCUGAGGAACGAAAGCAUGGGUAGCGAAGAGGAUUAGAUACCCUCGUAGUCCAUGCCGUAAACGAUGUGUGUUAGACGUUGGAAAUUUAUUUUCAGUGUCGCAGCGAAAGCGAUAAACACACCGCCUGGGGAGUACG